Molecule: ribosomal RNA, 386 nt
Filed under: uncultured eukaryote
Lineage: Eukaryota
Description: SSU rRNA
Rfam family: Eukaryotic small subunit ribosomal RNA
Source: RNAcentral
AGCUCCAAUAGCGUAUAUUAAAGUUGUUGCAGUUAAAAGCUCGUAGUUGGAUUUCUGGUCGGAUAGCGUUGCCCUCAAGUUGAGUGUGCAAAGCCGUCCGUCCAUCCUUCUGUUAACUCUUAAGGCUUUUGCGGUCUUCUGAGGGCUCAGAUAUUUUACCUUGAGAAAAAUUAGAGUGUUUCAGGCAGGCUAGCGCCGGAAUACAUUAGCAUGGAAUAAUAGAAUAGGACUUUUGCCUCUUCUGUUGGUCUAAGGGGUUCAAGUAAUGAUUAAUAGGGAUAGUUGGGGGCAUUAGUACUUAACUGUCAGAGGUGAAAUUCUCGGAUUUGUUAAAGACUAACUUAUGCGAAAGCAUUUGCCAAGGAUGUUUUCAUUAAUCAAGAACG